RNAcentral lists this ribosomal RNA (256 nucleotides) under uncultured bacterium. RNAcentral's name for it is "partial 16S ribosomal RNA". It matches the Rfam family "Bacterial small subunit ribosomal RNA", at positions 524 to 776 of the family's 1533-position model. The record is from RNAcentral.
UACGGAGGGUGCGAGCGUUGUCCGGAAUCAUUGGGCGUAAAGGGCGCGUAGGUGGCCUGCUAAGCGUGCGGUGAAAGUCGGGGGCUCAACCCCCGAUCGGCCGUGCGAACUGGGAGGCUUGAGCACUGUAGAGGCAGGCGGAAUUCCGGGUGUAGCGGUGGAAUGCGUAGAGAUCCGGAAGAACACCGGUGGCGAAGGCGGCCUGCUGGGCAGUUUUGCUGGACACUGAGGCGCGACAGCGUGGGGAGCAAACAGG